GAAAUGCGAUAAGUAGUGUGAAUUGCAGAACUCCGUGAAUCAUCGAAUGUUUGAACGCAUAUUGCGCUUUGCAGAUGCAAGUCUGCGAAGCAUGCCUGUUUGAGCGUCCCCAUCAUCAUCACCCACCUAGGGUGGAAGAUGAGCGUCUGCUUUAGGGUAGUCGCUUGAAGGAUAUUGAGAAGGCACGAUUAACAAAAGCCGACGCAGGCCGAUAUGGGUACUGCGCACAGAAGGUGAAAUACCACAGUCUGCGCGUCAGUUGCCCCUACCAGCCAAGCAUAGGCCCGAUCGCAAGGACCUCAAAUCAGGCAAGACCACCCGCUGAACUUAA
Molecule: unclassified non-coding RNA, 331 nt
Filed under: uncultured Geopora
Lineage: Eukaryota; Fungi; Ascomycota; Pezizomycetes; Pezizales; Pyronemataceae
Description: sequence contains ITS1
Rfam family: 5.8S ribosomal RNA (bases 1-109)
Source: RNAcentral